This 84-nucleotide transfer RNA is filed under the name Acidobacteriota bacterium. RNAcentral's name for it is "tRNA-Leu". It matches the Rfam family "tRNA". Rfam says of the family: Transfer RNA (tRNA) molecules are approximately 80 nucleotides in length. Their secondary structure includes four short double-helical elements and three loops (D, anti-codon, and T loops). Further hydrogen bonds mediate the characteristic L-shaped molecular structure. tRNAs have two regions of fundamental functional importance: the anti-codon, which is responsible for specific mRNA codon recognition, and the 3' end, to which the tRNAs corresponding amino acid is attached (by aminoacyl-tRNA synthetases). tRNAs cope with the degeneracy of the genetic code in two manners: having more than one tRNA (with a specific anti-codon) for a particular amino acid; and 'wobble' base-pairing, i.e. permitting non-standard base-pairing at the 3rd anti-codon position. Lineage: Bacteria; Pseudomonadati; Acidobacteriota. The record is from RNAcentral.
GGGGAUGUGGCGAAAUGGUAUACGCUCACGUUUGAGGGGCGUGUGGGGCAACCCGUGAGAGUUCGAGUCUCUCCAUCCCCACCA